This 578-nucleotide ribosomal RNA is filed under the name uncultured bacterium. RNAcentral's name for it is "bacterial SSU rRNA". It matches the Rfam family "Bacterial small subunit ribosomal RNA", at positions 35 to 647 of the family's 1533-position model. The record is from RNAcentral.
GCUGGCGGCGCGCUUACACAUGCAAGUCGCACGAGAAAGAGGAGCAAUCCAUGAGUAAAGUGGCGCACGGGUGAGUAACACGUGGAUCAUCUACCUCUUAGUGGGGGAUAACCCUGGGAAACCGGGGCUAAUACCGCAUAAGCUCGCGAGAGGAAAGCAGCAAUGCGCUGAGAGAGGAGUCCGCGGCCGAUUAGCUAGUUGGUAGGGUAAUGGCCUACCAAGGCGAUGAUCGGUAGCCGGCCUGAGAGGGCACACGGCCACACUGGCACUGAAACACGGGCCAGACUCCUACGGGAGGCAGCAGUGGGGAAUCUUGCACAAUGGAGGAAACUCUGAUGCAGCGACGCCGCGUGAGCGAUGAAGCCCUUCGGGGUGUAAAGCUCUUUCGGCAGGGACGAUUAUGACGGUACCUGAAGAAGAAGCUGCGGCUAACUACGUGCCAGCAGCCGCGGUAAUACGUAGGCAGCAAGCGUUGUUCGGAAUUACUGGGCGUAAAGAGUGUGUAGGCGGUUCUCUAAGUUCGGUGUGAAAUCUCCGGCUUAACUGGGAGGGUGCGCCGGAAACUGGAGAGCUUGAGU